This 249-nucleotide long non-coding RNA is filed under the name Brassica napus (rape). Its description in RNAcentral is "long non-coding RNA (BNAP_LNC025859)". Lineage: Eukaryota; Viridiplantae; Streptophyta; Magnoliopsida; Brassicales; Brassicaceae. The record is from RNAcentral.
GCAGUCUUAUUAGAAACAUUUCCGUACUCUUCAAGAGUAUUCUAGUCCAGCUCAUUUGCGAAAUCAGAGGAUUCAAGGUAUGAGGUCCCUUCAACGUUUUUCGUGAGGUUCAUCUCUUUAGCCUUUCCUUUUAUGGAUUCUUGAUAUAACUUGCACAAAUGUGGGGGAGUACGACAUGUACGGGACCAAUGUCCUUUACAUCCACAUUUGUAACAUUUCCACUCUUCAAGAGCGUGAGGGAGAUUGAUU